Molecule: non-coding RNA, 428 nt
Filed under: Pan troglodytes (chimpanzee)
Lineage: Eukaryota; Metazoa; Chordata; Mammalia; Primates; Hominidae
Also listed under: 1 other name
Source: RNAcentral
CAAAUCCACAGGUCAAGCACCACCAGCACCUGCAAAAAGUAUACCUGUGAAAAAGGAAACAAAAGCCCCAGCAGCUGAAAAAUUAGAGCCCAAAGCUGAACAAGCUCCAACAGUAAAAAGAACAGAAACAGAAAAAAAGCCACCACCUAUUAAGGAUAGCAAAUCUUUAACAGCUGAGCCUCAAAAGGCUGUCCUUCCCACAAAACUGGAGAAAUCGCCCAAACCAGAAUCAACCUGUCCUCUCUGCAAAACUGAACUCAACAUAGGUUCUAAGGAUCCUCCUAACUUCAAUACUUGCACUGAAUGCAAGAAUCAAGUGUGUAAUCUCUGUGGAUUUAACCCUACACCACAUUUGACUGAGAUUCAAGAAUGGCUUUGUUUAAAUUGCCAAACCCAGAGAGCAAUAUCAGGACAGCUUGGAGACAUAC